This 889-nucleotide unclassified non-coding RNA is filed under the name Hevea brasiliensis (rubber tree). Lineage: Eukaryota; Viridiplantae; Streptophyta; Magnoliopsida; Malpighiales; Euphorbiaceae. The record is from RNAcentral.
AUUAGUCCCUAAUUGAUAUAUGCUAACUGUUAUCGCAAUUACUGAAUUAAAUAAGUGCUAAGGCAUCCUAAUACAAUUCUCAAUGGGCUUAAUAUUUAAAAAAUCGCACUCUUGGGGUGAAUUAUUAAUUUUGGCCGAUCAUUUUAAUUUUAUUAAUUUUUUUCAUAACUCUACCUUAAGAUUUAAUUUCAAUUUUAAUAAUUAAUUUUCAUGAUUAAAAUGAUAAUUUGGCCAUUUUUUGUUUGCGAGAAAAUAGUUUUAUAAGUUUGGAGAUUUGAUAUUCUUUGGAGAGAGAUAGUAAACUAGGAGAGAGGAAUUUUGAGAUUUCAAUUUAAAUUAAUUUCUUUUUUUGAGAAAUAAAGCUUAUCAUUGAAGCAAAAGACCAGCAGGGUGAAGCGUCCACAGCUACAAGACCAGAUAUGAAAGGAGGAACAUCUUCCAUCUAAAUAAUUUUGAAAUACUCCAAAGAACAGGUUACCUUAGCAAGAGUAUGAGCUACAACAUUAGCUUCCCUAACCAUGUGCAUACAAGAGAAAGAAGAUAAAACAUGUAAUUCAAGUAGAAUGAGAUGGACCUGAGUGCCAAAAUAAGAGCCAGGAACAUGUUUCUCUUUUGCAGAUGAUGAACAAGUGCCAAUGAAUCUGACUCGAGAAUUAGUGAGGUAAAACCUGUAUCCUUAGCUAGCUGGAUACCAAAAAGCAUAGCUUUUGCUUCAGCGUCCUUAAGAGACAAAGACCCACUAAAAUGAUGCGAUCCCGGCAUGGGCACUUCCCCCUUAUUGCGUAGGACAAUACCCAAGCCGCAAAAAAUACCCUCUGUUAAGGAAGUCAGCUAUGUAUCCCUAAAUAAUUAGGAUUCCAAAGUAAUUAGGUUUCCAUGUAUAGAUUAA